UAAACUCUUGUGAUUUUUUUCUAUUCGCUUUUAAGGAAUCAUAACAAGGAAAAGAUCCGGGUUAAAAGAACAACUCGUUCGCAAUUUGGAGCAUCAAACAAGUGUUCAGUUUUAGGUUUUCAAGACUUGCAGUUUUUCAGCCACUGAAUCAAAACAAUGCAGCAUCUGGAUGCUCUUUUUGUGAAACGUCACAGUGAAGUUCUCAUCAAGAGGGUUACUCCUGUGAUGCCCAUUGCUGAUGCAUUGAAAGACGCUGCAAUAAUUCAGCAAGAAAUAUACACACAGAUUCUGAAUUCGUCUACAGAUGUGAAUAAAAUGACGGUG
Rhinichthys klamathensis goyatoka is the source of this 324-nucleotide long non-coding RNA. RefSeq lists it as uncharacterized. Lineage: Eukaryota; Metazoa; Chordata; Actinopteri; Cypriniformes; Leuciscidae. The record is from RefSeq and is a predicted model, not a curated record. The transcript has 3 exons.